GAGCACACCUGAGACACAAGGACAAAUUAAAGCCAGUGAAUAAAACUAAAGGUCACUUUAAAGGAGUAUAAAGCUACAGUGGACAUAACGUGGCAUAGGUGAUCUUGACACCACAGAACUGUGAAGCCUGCAAUCCUACAAUAUAGAGGGGUAUGAGGAAGACAUCUCAGGAUACUGAAGAGUGUUGCAGAGGACCCACAAAUAGUCCUGAGCAUGAGAUGGUGGACAACAAACCCAUUUUUGGUGUGGGUAAAAUCAUUAGCGACAUCUUUUUCUUUUUUUUUUUUUCAGCAGUUUGAAGAUGUGUCAUUCCAUUUAUUUUUUCAUAAUUUCUGUUAAAAAGACUGCAGCUGCCCUUACUGUUGUACCUUUGAAGGUGUUGCAGCAAGAGCGCUGGCCUGCCAUGAUCUGCUACAUUCUACCUGGAAAUACAAGUCAGAAGUCAGCCUGUCAUAUUUUUUCAAAAGGUGACUUGUCAAAAUGAGACUUCUUUCAUAAAAUCAGUCUGGUUGGGCAUGGUGGCUCACGCCUGUAAUCCUAGCACUUUGGGAGGCUGAAGUAGGUGGAUGGCUUGAGCCCAGGAGUUUGAGACCAGCCUGGGCAACAUGGCAAAAUCCCAUCUCUACAAAAAAUACAAAAAUUAGCCGGGCAUAGUGUCACACACCUGUGGUCCCAGCUACUCAGGAGACUGAGAUGGGAGGAUCACCUGAGCCCGGGAGGUUAAGGCUGCAGUGAGCCAGGAUUGGGCCACUGCACUACAGCAUGGGUGACAGAGUGAAAUGCUGUCUCAAAAAACAACAACAAAAAAUCUCUCAAUCUGUCCAAAUAGUUAGAUUGUCUUCAGUAAUCUUUCCAUCGCGAUCUUGCUUUGUUUCUACUACUACUCUGAUGCUACAUAAUUAAGGUCACCAAUCGUUGUCACUGUCUUUCCAAACCUGUUGUUCCUUACUUCCUCCGGCCAUUCUUCCUUGUCCCCCUCCCAUUCAUCAUCCAGACACACACACACACACACACACACACACACACACACACACACACAUACAUUUUAACAAUACCAAACUCCUUGUAGUUCCCCUAAAUGAAUCAUGUUGUUUCCCUUACCUGAAAUGCCCAAUCCCUUUUUUAUUUUCAUUGCUAACUCCUCUCAUCUUUCCAGAGUGUUCACGUCUACCAGGAGUGUUCUUGUCCCUCCCAUUCCUUUCUACUCUAGCUCCACUCACAGUUCUGUGUAAUCCCAUCUUGUGGACUAACCCGUGUUAAAAAGAUUUGUUUGCUGAUUUGAUUCUUCCCUCCACUACACCCCCCCAUAACACAAAAUGAGUCCCUUAAAAGCAGAAAUGUUGCCUCACUGGUCUCCAGCACCCAGUGGAGUAUUUGGUAUGAAUGUCGGUCGAACUGUACUCUCUCCAGUGUGCAUUUUGUUCCAGGAAGACUAGGUAAUAGCAGGAGCAUUAGAAGCCUCAUCUUCAGGGCUGUUUGACAUUGAUUUUUUAAAAAAUACAUUUCCUGAGGUCUCACUAGUGCCAGAAUAUGAAAAAAAUAAUCAUUCUUCUCUGACUAAAGUGGAAUCACCAGUGAUUUAUUCUCUCCUUAAUCAGUAAUACUAGCUAACAUUUAUAUAGCCCUCACUAGGUCCCAAGCACUUUGAACAUAUCAUCUUAUUUCAUGUCUAUAACCACCUUCAGGUAGGCACUGUUGUUACCCUCCAAUUUACAAAGGAGGAAACUGAAGUGCAGGGAGGUUAAGUAAGUGGCAAGCUAGAAUCUGGAUACAGGUUGUCUGGUUCCAGGGACCAGGCAGUUAGCCAUUAUGCUAUGCGGCAUGAUUUCUUGCUUUCCUUGCCCUUUUUUCUUAAAUGUUUAAUUACAUAAGUAGCAUAUCAAUACAUUUAAAUUGUCAAAAAUUCAGAAACAAAGCAAAAACUCACUACUAUUUGAUGGGUAUCUUUCAAGAUCUUUUUCUUUGUUUACAUACAUAUAUACAUUAUGUGUGUGUACAUAUACACAAAGAAAUAUGUAUUUUUAUGUAACUGGAUUAUGCCUUAUUUUUCUAUAGAUUUGUUUUCAUUUAACAAUUUGUCUUAAAGGUCUUUUCAUAUCGAUGCAUAUUGAUCUAUUUUAUUCUUUGAAUGUUGCAUAGUAUGGAUAUAUUCCAUAGAAUGGGUGUAAUAUAGUUUAGGUAACCAUUUUUCUUUUGCGAGUCAUUUAUGUUGUUUCUGAUUUCACUGUUACAAACCAGGCUGCACUGAGUAUCCUUGAACAUGUCUCUUCACAUUCAUGCAACUAUACGUCUAGGAAAGAUCCUCAGAAAUAAAAUUGUUGGGAUGAAGUUUGUGUUGACUUUUUUUUUUUUAAUGGUGACUCACAUCCUGCCUUCCAGGGAGGCUGUGGCUUUUAUUGUUUCAUCAUUCACAUAUUAAAAGGGUUGUGUACACUUGGUUGAAUUUAUGGCAGAGUAAAAAAUCAUAAUAAAAUAAAUAAAAGGGCUGUGGCUGGAGGUUUUCCAGGAAAUCAACUCUCUAUAAAAGCACUGCUCACACCCUAACAUGCCAAGGAAAGCAAAGGCCUUCUCUCUUCUCCACCUCAUCUUUAGGAAAAAGGAAUUUUGGCCUGAGUUGCAGAAUAAACAGUGUCCUUGAGAGCAUACAGUGGGAUUCCUGAAAAAGAAGGUGGCAGGCAAGAGGAAGGUGAAACUUUCUGUGGGAAGAAAUCAAGUGGCUCUGUCAAAAGACAAAAUUACAACCCAUUUAGUUAAAGAUCUUAAUAGGCUUUUAUCGGUGACUCUUGAAUCAGGCAACAACUCAAUCUGUAAAUGAGCUGAACAGAGAAGUUUGGCUUUAUAGACAAAAAGGGCUGGGGAAGCAGACAUAGAGAACAAAAAGUGGAUUAGUCAUUUUGAAGUUGCUUUCUUCCUAAAGGUUAAAGCAGAGGGGACUUCCUUAUCAUGCCGGGUAAAACUGGCCUGUUUGGGGAUUUGGCUCUCUCUCUCUCCCUGCCACCCCCAACCCCCUGAUUCCUUGGAAGUUCAGAUAAACACCUUGGUUUUGGUU
RNAcentral lists this long non-coding RNA (3049 nucleotides) under Homo sapiens (human). RNAcentral describes it as "HSALNT0360081". The record is from RNAcentral. Lineage: Eukaryota; Metazoa; Chordata; Mammalia; Primates; Hominidae.